CCAACUCUCUCUCCUGGUUCCAUGUUCACUCUGCUACUUUCUAAUUAUUACUCCAGGUUGGAGGGAUGGAUGAUGGACAACAACUUUUCUCAUCACUGGAAGGACUCCAUUGAAUCAGAAGAUAGAAAGGCCUGACAUGGUAGAAAAAAAUUAUCCGGGAAAAUAUUGGAGUGAGUAGAAAACCAGUCAAACUCCUAAUUGCAAAUUCUCUUAAAAUUAAUUGAAAAAUGUUACUAAAGAAUUUUCAGCAGUACAGCAAAGACCAGUCACUGAAGUAACUUAAGGGAGAAUGCACUAAACUGAAAAAAAAUCAAUGUGGGUUUUCUAAAAAAG
This 333-nucleotide long non-coding RNA is filed under the name Homo sapiens (human). RNAcentral's name for it is "HSALNT0208352". Lineage: Eukaryota; Metazoa; Chordata; Mammalia; Primates; Hominidae. The record is from RNAcentral.